AGGGACCGUUCCGGAAGCCACCUGUGCCUCUCCUCAAUGGGUUUUAAGACUAUUUGGGGAGGGGGCACAUCUUUAUCCGAAAGGAAGGCUCCAACAACACCCUCCCUCUCACCCCCAAGGAGAGAGGAGCUGGGAGCCAGCCUGCAACUCCUAAUGCACGCGCUGGCUCGGGGACGGGGGUGCCCGGCCGGUGGUCCCGACGCCCGCAAACAGGCGUCCAUCACGUCUGAUUGACAAGGGCCCUUUAAAGAGAAGAAAGAGGCUGCGGGUUGCAGGAGAACUCCUCUGAAAUCCCGGAACUAGGCGUGAGACGGUGGGUGGAAGGAGACGACGGGGAAGGGAUGAAGGCGCCCCCGUCCCUAAGCCAGGAGCGGCGUCCCAACUGGCCGAGCCCACAGAUUCUGGGUAGUGGGCUCCGCGCUCCUGUGGCUGCCAUGAGGCUCGGUUUCGGCCGAGCCACUGCCAGACUGUGGCACCUCUGUCCCCAGCGUGCUUAGGAGCGCUGCCAGACUGCCACGCCGCGCUGGACAGUUAGCGACCAGUCCUUACAGCCGCGACAGCCCGCCCGGCCUCCCGUGACCAGCAGGCUGCAAAACAGCCAGAGUCAUUUCUCACUCCGGGGACCCCGAGGACAGCGCCUGCAGGACCGCAGUUGUCAAGGCCCCGAGGGCGCGGCGCUGUCACCUUCAUGCUUAGCUAGCUCCUGAGGCCUGAGUGAAGAUUAAUAGAUGGCACGGCCCCCACCGUCGUCAGGCCAGCGGUGAAGCCGGGCGCACAUUUGACGAGGCCGGCGGUCCCAUGACUGAAGAGCGCUGGCGCGGCAUCCAGGAGGCCUCGGAGCUGCCCGGGUUCCGCUGGUGCCUGGCGCACCUUGCAAAGGCGCUGGUUCCUGUCCAGCACGACCCCGGCCUCCCCUCGACGCAGCUGUCCAGAGCAGGCCGCUGUCCAUGCCUCGCUUUCCCAGGGCUUUCUGGAAGCACUGGCGUUGGAAGCCAGGGCGCACAGAGAACGCACGCGGAUGGCUCCCCUCUCAGCGCGCUGCAGUGGCCGGGCCCCGGCUAGUCCCCCGGCCAUGGCACCAGGGCUGAGCUCCUGACCUGAGCCGAGACUUGGACCACGCGGGUUUCCCGGUCGUGCCUCCUGGACCUCAUUCCCAGGCCUCCGGCGGGGACGCACCUGAGCUAGGGCAGUGGCCGGGAGAGGCCCUGCAGAACUUCUCCAAGGCUGCUUUAUCGUUGUUAUUUCGACUUGGUUUCAUGAAAUCUGCCCCUCUUUCCCCGUUACCGGGAGCCGAGAGCUCCAUCGAGUUCAUCUGCGCCACCAGCCCGUGGCACCUCCGCGUUCAAGGGGGCACCCAGGGUGAGCCGUGAGGAGGAGCCUGGCAGUGAGGGGCGGGGUUCGCUUGGCCAGGAAGGCGCUCGGGCUCGUUCUUCUGAGCCUGGCUCUGCGCAGAGCCCGGCUGAGCGGUGCUUCCUCUGCCGCCGCUCGGCUCGGCUCUUCAAUCGGCUGCACCUGCCUGGCUCUGGGCGCUGGGCUCCAGGUGAGGAGCAGUGUGCUAGACAGCAGCCCCCCACAGCACCCCAGUGCAGAAACCAACAGGAGCCGGUGCAGGCGAGGUUUGCUCAUUCCUGUCCAUUCAUGCACCGACUCAUUCAUUCAUUCAGACCGGAGAAGGAAGCCUCUCCUGGAAACCCAGGCGGGGUGGAGCUGUCCUGGGAGUGGCCUGCACGCCCACCUGUUCCUCCGCCCAGCACUGCCCCCGUCGUCUCCAGCCAACGCAUCCAAGCGAGGGGCCGCCCAGCUCCAAUUAAGUUUGAAUUAAUUCUUGCUGGGUUCCUUUACAAAGCAUUCCGGCUUUAAUUGUCUCACCUAGUUACUGGACUGCGACCCAGAUUUAAGACCUGACACAGGUGAUGGGAAGCGACGGGUUUCCUUUGACUGCGUCCACGCGUCGUCGCAAGAGCGUCGUGCACUUGCUUGUGGGUCUGCCCUUCCAGACUCAGCCUGGAUGCGGCUUCCCUAAAUAAGCAGAAUCCGCACUUGCCCUGCCUCACACGGAGGAUCACAGUGGACUGUCCUUGUGCUCGGAGCCAGGCUGCACUGGUGUUGGAUCAAAUGAGAACAACCUGUGCUUGUUUCUGCAUGACUUUUGUUCCUACCCAAAUUGUGCAGGGGGCUUGUAGGAGAGAGAAAUGCCGACUCCACAGCUGCUAAUUAUAGUGUUCACUUCUAGCUACAUAGCUGCAUGCAAAUAUCAGCCUGUAUAAAUUUGGCAUUGAAAGCACCCCAAGGCUCCAGUCUGGCAGAUGGGUAUUGGAUCACAGCGAAACUUAACAGUACCUGGGAGCUCUGGGGCCACGCAGAGGCUCCGAGCAACAGGAGGGCAUCCGUCUUCCCUCGUCGGAGACGACUGUGGGUUUUAUACAUUGUUCUGGCCUGAACACAUUUGAGAGGUGGUUUGGAAAAAGACUUUGGGCUGAUAGCCAGUUUCCCUUAGUGUUCUGUAGACAGUCCGUAGAUCUUGGAAAGCGGGGCAUCUUUAAAUCACUGUAUUUUGUUUUAUUUUAAGUUGAGGAGAAGUGGCGUGCACUGGGGGAGCGCACAGCCCACCCCGCGGCUGCACGGGGACUCUGGUGGAAGCGGGAGGCAGGUGCUGAAGCCAGCCGCGUAAACCCUGGGCUCAAUUUCCCAUCUUCCCUUCCGUGAGGAGUAUUGCGAAGAUUUCUUGGCCUUAUCCUUUCUUACUUUGCAAAAGAAAAACACUCAUCCAGAAAAUAAGGCGAAAUGAGUGCUUUUCAGAGCCGAGGGGGCGUUCUGGGGAGACCGCGGCCAGGGUGGGCACCCUGCCCGGGCCCUGGCCGCGGGCACACGUAGCAGCGUUCCUUUCAAGACAACCUGGAUUUUUGGAUGCGACACAGGUGAUUCUUUUCUUGUUCGGCUGUUUUAAAAAAGGAGACAAGUGCACAGAUGCAAUUAAAACAAAACGACGAGAGAUUUGCAAGGAAAAGCAGGAGCAAGGGAAGAACACGUUUGCGAAGCAAGAACGCAGCUCCCACCCAGGUGUGCAGCACGGGGGCGGUAGGCGGGGGCUCUCCUUCUCUGCAGCCGCUGUUUCUGGAAUGAAUUCAAUGUCUCCUCCCUUGUAAAUGGACUUAGUGUGUCCCCGGGCCAUGAGCAGUCUGGGUCGGUUUCCAGGUUGUUAUUUCUUUAGGGGAGAAAAAUGAACUUAGGAAAAUGAUACCCACCAGAUUUCCAGAUGUCCAAGAAAAUAUAUUACCCCGUGGCUUUUGAUUCUGUAUUAUUUCCUUGAAAACUUCCUUGCCAUGAACUUGGUAAAGCAAACAUCUCUGGUUUUCCCAAAGUCUUAGGUAAAUGAAUAAAACUGGGCAGAAUAUCAAGUAGCUGUGUUUCAAUUUGUCACAGUUUCCAGUGACGUUUAGAGCGAAUGCGAAGUCCCCGGUGGCCCACGGUGCUGUGCUGAGCCCAGGCCCGGCCACCUCUGCAGGGCCCUGCUCCUGCCUGCCUCUUGCUGCCCCUGUUUCUGCCUCAGGACCUUUGCCUCCUGCUGGGCCCAGGCCUGGGGCUGCUUCCUCCACUCUCCCACCCCUGCUGCUGUCUGGAUCCGGAGGAGACGUCCCUGGCCUUGCCAGGAGGGGCCGGGUCCCAAGCAGAGGGGCCCCCGAUGCUCAGGCGCCCCCUUUGUGUCAUGGUGGCUGUGGAUGCUGGGCCCCGGAUGUCCGCCCUCCCUGGCUGAGCAACACGGGGCAGGCGCUGGCUCUGUUCUGGCCGCCGGGCCCUGGGCCUGAAGCACGGGAGACGUCCAGCCGCGGGCUGAAGGAAGGUCGGAGCAGGACAGGGAGCGGGGACAGGCAGAGGCGCGGGUCUACGCCUGUGCUUCCAGCUGCAGGGCUGGAGUCAGGCGAUGAAGAAGGCCGCGGGGGCGCCGCUCCCCUCUUGCACCCUGCACCAGGCUCCACCCGAGGCCUCGGCCAGUGGUGUCCACGUCCCGGGCUCCCCCACCCCCUUAUUUUCCCAUUGACCAGGUGAGGAAAUCUAGGCCUGGGAGGUGAAGAGAGCCACGUUCAAGGUCAGCUGGCCAGCAGGUGAGAGACGAGGUCCAGGCUGUGCUGGGGGCAGUGGCUCUCCCAGGACUGCAGCCGCCUCUGACUGUGGGCCGACCGUGCCAGAGGCCAGCAGGAAACGCGUCCCUUGUCACGGGCCCGGCUGUGCCUUCAGCGCGUAAUGAUCCUGGUUUCCCAGCUUGCGCGUGGUCUGAGGAAGCCUCGUGCUGGAAGGCACCACGGAGGACGGCACGGUGACAAGAGCAGUGACGGCUGAC
Molecule: non-coding RNA, 4339 nt
Organism: Oryctolagus cuniculus (rabbit)
Lineage: Eukaryota; Metazoa; Chordata; Mammalia; Lagomorpha; Leporidae
Source: RefSeq, a predicted model, not a curated record